Molecule: ribosomal RNA, 480 nt
Filed under: uncultured bacterium
Lineage: Bacteria
Description: partial 16S ribosomal RNA
Rfam family: Bacterial small subunit ribosomal RNA
Source: RNAcentral
GACGAACGCUGGCGGCGUGCCUAACACAUGCAAGUCGAGCGAGUGAAUCUCCUUCGGGAGUGAAGCUAGCGGCGGACGGGUGAGUAACACGUGGGCAACCUGCCUCAUAGAGGGGAAUAGCCUUUCGAAAGGAAGAUUAAUACCGCAUAAGAUUGUAGCUUCGCAGGAAGUAGCAAUUAAAGGAGCAAUCCGCUGUGAGAUGGGCCCGCGGCGCAUUAGCUAGUUGGUGAGGUAACGGCUCACCAAGGCGACGAUGCGUAGCCGACCUGAGAGGGUGAUCGGCCACAUUGGGACUGAGACACGGCCCAGACUCCUACGGGAGGCAGCAGUGGGGAAUAUUGCACAAUGGGGGAAACCCUGAUGCAGCAACGCCGCGUGAGUGAUGACGGCCUUCGGGUUGUAAAGCUCUGUCUUCAGGGACGAUAAUGACGGUACCUGAGGAGGAAGCCACGGCUAACUACGUGCCAGCCGCCGCCGUAA